RNAcentral lists this ribosomal RNA (253 nucleotides) under uncultured bacterium. Its description in RNAcentral is "partial 16S ribosomal RNA". It matches the Rfam family "Bacterial small subunit ribosomal RNA", at positions 524 to 776 of the family's 1533-position model. The record is from RNAcentral.
UACGUAGGGUGCAGGCGUUAAUCGGAAUUACUGGGCGUAAAGCGUGCGCAGGCGGUCUUUUAAGUCAGAUGUGAAAUCCCCGGGCUUAACCUGGGAACUGCGUUUGAAACUGAAAGGCUAGAGUGUGGCAGAGGGGGGUGGAAUUCCACGUGUAGCAGUGAAAUGCGUAGAGAUGUGGAGGAACACCGAUGGCGAAGGCAGCCUCCUGGGCCAGCACUGACGCUCAUGCACGAAAGCGUGGGGAGCAAACAGG